GACGAACGCUGGCGGCGUGCUUAACACAUGCAAGUCGAACGGAAAGGCCCUGCUUUUGUGGGGUGCUCGAGUGGCGAACGGGUGAGUAACACGUGAGUAACCUGCCCUUGACUUUGGGAUAACUUCAGGAAACUGGGGCUAAUACCGGAUAGGAGCUCCUGCUGCAUAGUGGGGGUUGGAAAGUUUCGGCGGUUGGGGAUGGACUCGCGGCUUAUCAGCUUGUUGGUGGGGUAGUGGCUUACCAAGGCUUUGACGGGUAGCCGGCCUGAGAGGGUGGCCGGCCACAUUGGGACUGAGAUACGGCCCAGACUCCUACGGGAGGCAGCAGUGGGGAAUAUUGCACAAUGGGCGGAAGCCUGAUGCAGCAACGCCGCGUGCGGGAUGACGGCCUUCGGGUUGUAAACCGCUUUCGCCUGUGACGAAGCGUGAGUGACGGUAAUGGGUAAAGAAGCACCGGCUAACUACGUG
This 468-nucleotide ribosomal RNA is filed under the name uncultured bacterium. Its description in RNAcentral is "partial 16S ribosomal RNA". It matches the Rfam family "Bacterial small subunit ribosomal RNA", at positions 28 to 507 of the family's 1533-position model. The record is from RNAcentral.